RNAcentral lists this ribosomal RNA (467 nucleotides) under uncultured bacterium. Its description in RNAcentral is "bacterial SSU rRNA". It matches the Rfam family "Bacterial small subunit ribosomal RNA", at positions 329 to 793 of the family's 1533-position model. The record is from RNAcentral.
CACCAGACUCCUACGGGAGGCAGCAGUGAGGAAUAUUGGUCAAUGGGCGAGAGCCUGAACCAGCCAAGUCGCGUGAGGGAAGACGGUCCUAUGGAUUGUAAACCUCUUUUGUCGGGGAGCAAAGAGGCCACGUGUGGUCAAAAGCGAGAGUACCCGAAGAAAAAGCAUCGGCUAACUCCGUGCCAGCAGCCGCGGUAAUACGGAGGAUGCGAGCGUUAUCCGGAUUUAUUGGGUUUAAAGGGUGCGCAGGCGGAAUAUCAAGUCAGCGGUAAAAUUGAGGGGCUCAACCUCUUCGAGCCGUUGAAACUGGUUUUCUUGAGUGAGCGAGAAGUAUGCGGAAUGCGUGGUGUAGCGGUGAAAUGCAUAGAUAUCACGCAGAACUCCGAUUGCGAAGGCAGCAUACCGGCGCUCAACUGACGCUCAUGCACGAAAGUGUGGGUAUCGAACAGGAUUAGAUGCCCUUGUAU